Long non-coding RNA from Rhodamnia argentea, 189 nucleotides. RefSeq lists it as uncharacterized. The record is from RefSeq and is a predicted model, not a curated record. The transcript is spliced from 3 exons. NCBI's taxonomy places the organism in Eukaryota, Viridiplantae, Streptophyta, Magnoliopsida, Myrtales, Myrtaceae.
CAUUGUCCGGGGCCUGUGUCGUAGGUGUUGUCUACCAGAAGUCAUUCUGCGAUGGAUGCAGGUCUUGGUAUCUGUAGCGGAGUCUGGUGGCCCUCCUGAAAGCCAUGAUGAUCUGAUUGAAUUGAUCACUUCGCCUGAAACAAGCUUACUUCAUCUGUUUAGUCAGCAACACUUGCAGGAAUUUUUGUU